CGCCCCCAGAGGCUUAGUGUCAGUGUUAACACUUCAAACACUCAAUAUCUCCACAAAACACAAAGGACACACAACUGCUUGCCAUUGUCAUCGUUUCUUCUAGAAAAAGAGAUAUGGAUCCCUCCCAAAGUGUGACUUAACACACCUAUGGCAUCAUGCGCGACAUCACAGCCACUGCUGGAGGCUAAUCUCCAACCACUGGGAUCUGAUUUCCAGCAGUAUUGACAGUUCAUGAAUCAAUCUGUGCCAGCUUCCUCUACUGAACCUGAUGCCGCUCCCAUACUAUGCCUGUGACUCUGAGCUGUACGACUCAGUUUCCCUGUGCUGUGUGCCUGCUUCCUCUACUGAACCUGAUGCCGCUCCCAUACUACGCCUGUGACUCUGAGCUGUACGACUCAGUUUCCCUGUGCUGUGUGCCUGCUUCCUCUACUGAACCUGAUGCCGCUCCCAUACUACGCCUGUGCCUCUGAGCUGUACGACUCAGUUUCCCUGUGCUGUGUGCCUGCUUCCUCUACUGAACCUGAUGCCGCUCCCAUACUACGCCUGUGACUCUGAGCUGUACGACUCAGUUUCCCUGUGCUGUGUGCCUGCUUCCUCUACUGAACCUGAUGCCGCUCCCAUACUACGCCUGUGACUCUGAGCUGUACGACUCAGUUUCCCUGUGCUGUGUGCCUGCUUCCUCUACUGAACCUGAUGCCGCUCCCAUACUACGCCUGUGACUCUGAGCUGUACGACUCAGUUUCCCUGUGCUGUGUGCCUGCUUCCUCUACUGAACCUGAUGCCACUCCCAUACUACGCCUGUGACUCUGAGCUGUACGACUCAGUUUCCCUGUGCUGUGUGCCUGCUUCCUCUACUGAACCUGAUGCCACUCCCAUACUACGCCUGUGACUCUGAGCUGUACGACUCAGUUUCCCUGUGAUGUGUGCCUGCUUCCUCUACUGAACCUGAUGCCGCUCCCAUACUACGCCUGUGACUCUGAGCUGUACGACUCAGUUUCCCUGUGAUGUGUGCCUGCUUCCUCUACUGAACCUGAUGCCGCUCCCAUACUACGCCUGUGCCUCUGAGCUGUACGACUCAGUUUCCCUGUGCUGUGUGCCUGCUUCCUCUACUGAACCUGAUGCCGCUCCCAUACUACGCCUGUGCCUCUGAGCUGUACGACUCAGUUUCCCUGUGCUGUGUGCCUGCUUCCUCUACUGAACCUGAUGCCACUCCCAUACUACGCCUGUGACUCUGAGCUGUACGACUCAGUUUCCCUGUGCUGUGUGCCUGCUUCUGAGAGGUGAUAAUCCGGACAAUUUAAACCUUUCUUACAAGCAGAAGUGAAACCAUUAAUCCUGUGAGAUUCUUCUGAUAAGUGGUGACUGUGAAGUAAUGGCCAUGUCGCCUAGAAAAAUAAAAAUAUGUGGACAAUUAAAACAAGAUGGACAUUAUCUGGCAAGUCCCUACUCCCCUUUUCUUUAGCAGUAUUGUAAUUGAUCUGUCCCUUUGUUACUAAACGGAAUAUUGAGUCCUGGCUUUUUGUUCAUUAUCUGUGGAUUUUAACUUGGUGCAUAUUUGUCAAGUUUGAAAAUCAUGUAAAAAAGGAAACACAUAUACAAAUGCUGUUCUGAAGAAAAGUCAAUUCUCAUGACACCUGCUAAAGUUUCUGGCUAUAAUGUGUUGACCUUUCCAGGCACCCCUGUUGUUUAGUUAUUUGAAAGUACUUUCUCAAGCUGCAGUAUAUGACAGGAGUAUAUUGUAUCUGGAAUUAAGUCCAUUCACAUUUGAUUGUCCUUAAAAACUCUGUCAAACUUUUGCACUGGGAGCUUUGCCCUAGAAAAGCAAUGUGACGUGUUUGGGCCGGGGGGUAAUAAUCUGGUUCCCUGACCGUAGUGAACACCCUAAUUUCUGUGUCUUGGCAAAGAGAUUAGUGUGUUGAAUUAUGGUAAUUAGAGAUUGAAUUAUAAAAGUUUGACAUUUUCACCCUCAAUUGUGUGAGCAAAAAGUGUAUGGAAUCAUAUAUAAACUUUUAAGUUGAUAUUUUUAAUUGCAAAGCACAUUAUAUUAAUUUCCUCCUACGUAUAACAAAAGGUGAAGUGGCAUCACAAUUAUAGUUGAAAUAUGUAGUCCUUCAAAACAUUUGAUAUUAUUUCACUCUGCUAUGUUGACUUUAACAUUAUAUGUGCCUCUGUUACUAACUGUAAUCAGUUGUUGAUAUUGCUGUCCCUGAGUGUUUCAUGUCAUUGACAGUCAGAUAAUUAGGUAUCAUCUAUGCUUCAGUAACAAUAUAAAAAGCCAUUAUAAUGGAUGGUUUUAAUUAAUGCCAUAUUUGAUUAUUAGCUCAUUUGAAUGUUUAUAUUUUGGCACAUAUUCUAAUAUGUGAUAGAAAGAGCAGAAAUGAAUUGUAUUACCCUUAGUGCAUAGCUGUUUUUAAUUGUAUGAUUCCAUAACUGUUUAUGACAGGAAAUGGGUUAUUUUUUGUGAUUUAUCCAUCUGAGAUAAUGUUAGCAAGACUUUGAUAUUGCAUUAAGAUUGGGGAGAAGGUCAUAUAUGAAGAUGCCAAAACCAGCACCAGGGCAACUUGCUCAUCUGAAAGGACAUGUAUUUUCACAUGGAGGUCUUGGGAAUGAAAGAACAGUGGGAGGUUUAAUUUAGAGAUGGUCAAUACAACAACAUUCAGAUGGGCCAUCCUCUAAUCUCAUAAGAAUAUUCUCUCCAAAGAACCUCAAACUAUCCAAUUUAGAUGAAAUCCACAUGUAGUUCAUAUUGACCAUUCCAUAUUGAACCGGGAACGUUGUAUUCUACAUGCCAAAUAGGGAAUAUUCUGGCAGAAUCCCAGUGCCUGGCAUGUGAUAUUCUGCAUUAUUUUGGCCGUAAUUCUGUUUAGAUCAAAGGGAUUCAAGGGGCCUAAGUUUCAAAUCCCCCAAAGCCCAUUUUGGCUACUCUUUAUUUAGCUCAUUGGCAUUCUGACACCAUGCUUCUGAGACUUUGAACCCUCAAAGUUUGGAAAAGCUGAAUCGCUUCUUUAAACACAUCAGUGGGCCAGAUUAAAGAAUAUCACUAAGCAUCUUAAGGUUUUAGUGCAGUGUGGCGGCAUGGUUUGGGCUUCUGGGGCCAUUUACCGCCAUAUACUGUAUUAACAAUGGCUGAGAAAACAGGCCGAGGGGGGUGGAGAAAACUUCCCUCAUGCUAAAUUGAGUUUGGGUAACAUUAAGUAGAGUAGAAAGAAUGAUACUGAAGAGCUGGAGUAAAGGUCAAAAAGAGUCAGUUGGAUACCUCAGUGUUGUUUCAAUGUUUUAGCUAAAUUUAUUUGUUCAUUUUACAUUUAAAAUAAGUUAAUUUAUAGGUUUUAAACAUGUACUGGCUUAUACCGGCUUAUACGUUACUAUAACACUACUUUGUAUCUGAAACAGAGGCAGAAAUUCAAUCAAAUGGUAAUGAAAUUGAUUUUUAAUUGGCCACCUCCCUCUGUCAGGUACAGUAUAUCUCCAAAUAAGUCAACACAUUCACACGUCUUAACAAUUUGCCACAUGUGAGUACCAGCUGCUUUAACCACUUUGGUAUUGUACCUUUCCAUCCAGAAUUAAGUAAAAACUAUUAAUUUACCUAAACAGAUAGAUCAACCUGUAGAAGUGUAUGUGAAACAAAAGUAGUUUCUAAUAAGUGUGAUUUUGGUAAUGUGCAAAGAUUCCUCAUCACAGACUCUUACACCCCCUCAAUCUCAUCAGCCCUCAUGAUUAAGAUUUGGCAUCUUGGACCACAUUGUCUUCAUUUUGGAAAUAUUUCAGCUGCAUUUCUGCCACUCUGAAGGGAGAUGAAGAUAAAGGAGAAGAACGGUAAAAACACACCCUGUUGUGUGAAUCCUAGAGAAGGCCUUGAACCCUGCCAUUCAUCCCUUUCACUUCAUCAGCUGAGUCUAAUUGCCAGAGAGGACAGGAGACCCCAGGCCCUAUUGUUCCUCCUCCUCUUUGGAGCCUGAAAAGUGAAAGGGCUGCUUUUGAUCUUUUUUCAGAUUUUUUUCUCUUUUCUGUCAUCCCCUGCUAUCCUUUCCCUCAGAGUGACACACUCCUUUCAAACUGUGCCCCCUUCUCCAUCCACGCAAAAUAAUUAUCAUGCUCCGCUUCAUCAAAUAAUGGUGGCGAUAGAAGGUCACGGCGGGGAGGGCCAGAGGUCUAGAGGAGUGGCACUAGGACGUGGUAGAGCUCCCAGCUCAUCUUAGAGGCAUGCUCCUUAGCUCGGGGUACCUUUUAUGUACCUUGACCCCGCUUUUCCUUUGGCUGUCCUAAUGAGACCCUCUCACACGGCCAAAGCAAUACUGGUCCUGUGCUAGCAGGGUUGGAAGGCCAAAGUACAAUGAGACACAGAGCUAUGCUGAGACAAGGGCGCAUCUGUGCUGUCUUAUUAAGCCUUGGAAAGGAGCUCAUGCUUUUCAACGUCCCAUAGGCGCUAUGGCCAGAUCUAUUGACACCUACUUGUCCUUUGCGGUCAACACCUUUCAGAGGAGCAGCCUACACUCACAAGUUCUUAUUAGGAGUAAUUUUGGAAAGCUUAUUUGGAGAGGCAACUGCUUAACUUGGUUUAGGUGUCCAUGUGAGAAAUGGCAUAAGCAGUCGGGAAUUCAGAAGAAUGAUGAAGAAAAAUUCCUUGAGACUAAGAAGAUUACAAAGGAUGUCUAAGACCAUUCCAGUCAGAAGAAAACUGCCCUUCAAUUUGGAAUAAACCCCAAGGAUGCCCUCUCUGUGUGGGUACUUACACACAAGCGUCAAUCACUUUUUGAGUCUCAUUACUCCCUUGUUGAGAUAUAGAGAGCCUGGGUAAUGUUCAUCAAUAUUUAGAACUCGUAGUUCUACAAACAGGAUUAACUUGUGUUUAAUCGUUGUGGAGAGAAUGCAGAAAUCAGCUAAUUGUGAUGUAGUGUAUGUUAUAUAUCCUGAAAUUUUGAAUAGCAGAUUGUGUUGCAGUUUAUUACAAUGAUCACAAUCUAAAUAUCUAUAUAUCUGUUAUUUAUGUGAGUCAUACUCAAUGAUAAAUACACGGACAUGGCCUAGUCCACUACCUUACUAACAAAAUGGACAACGGGGGAAUAGUUUAAAUAGACAGAACAAAAAAUGACAAACAAACAAACACAAGUAGGCAAACAAAAACCUUUAAGCAAUCAUGUAAAGCACGUGUAACAUCUGAGCAGGGAGAGAGAACAAAGCGGAGCUCCUGUCAGAGCAUCGAUCUGCUCCUGAAGCUACACAGAUCCACAGAGCUCUGAUUGCUCCCUGCCUCUCUCCCCAGCGCCUGCCUCCAACUCUUCUCUCUCUGGCUCCUCUCGGAGAAUGUGCUUAUUGAUUUAGCCCUCUUCUGUGCAGUUAACUCACUGAUAUAUACUGACCGAGGGCUUUCUUGGGCCUGAAAGCAUUUGAAUGCUGGUGAGAAAACAAUAAAUUAAAAAAGAAAGAAUAAGAACGCUAGUCAAAAGACUCAGCCUGUAACACAGAUGUUCCCUUUGUGCCUAGUGAGAGACAGUUGGACAGUUACAAGUGGAGAAUAAUAUAAUCCCGAAUAUGUAACAAAGUAGCUCUGGCAAGUAGCUGGUGGUGUUGUUAUUUCAAUAUCACUAUUGCCAACAUUAACUAAAGAUCUCCUUCUAGUUUUCCUUUUCAAGUAUCAAGUGUUCUUCAACGUUUGUCAGCACAUUUAUGGUAGAAUCAAUGUGUCUGCAAUUACUGUGUGGGGAUCUGGUUGUGUUUGCUUGUCUUUGUGACGUGUGUGUAGUCAGGUCCAUAGUGGGUGGUUAUGUGUCGAUCUUUGUGUAUUUUAGCAAGUGUUUUCUGUUGUCAUGUUUGUAGCGUUCCAUGUGGGAGGGUCUGCUGAGAAGCAAGCCAUCUGUAGUGUUCUGCCGAGCGACAUGUUGUAAAGCGAGAUUUGAGAGUGUGGGGAGACUUGACUUGUCAAAUCUUGGCACAUAAUGAGACAGAAGGGAGUGAAGACAGGAAAGUGUCCAGAGAUAAACAAUUAGAUGAGUCUCAGCGGUAAAGGGCAUGGGCAAUGGGAGGACGCUCCCAAAAACCAAAUCAAUAUGGCUUCCAGUAAGGACACACUGGGGUAAAGGGAUGAAGGGGUUAACACUUAUUUCUCAGAUCAGGACAUAGAAGAACAGAGUCGUGGCUUGCUCAAAAUCAAUAGGCCUACUGUUGUGAACAUGGAUUGAAGAAAGCGGUCUGUCAUUGUAAACACAUUUCAAUACUGUAUUUGAUACACAACAUAGUCACAGUAUUACAUUGUAGAUGUAAUAAGAUACAAAGACAUGACACGAAUACCAACCGAAAGUGGGGGUAUACAGUAUAUCAGCAGGGAUAAUGAACUGAAUUAGGCCAGCCUGUCUCACAGCAACAGCCAAUUUUGAAAUGAAUUGAAAAGAUCUUUAAGGAGGCGGCAUUUGGGAAUGGUGGAUUCACACACCCAAUACAAACAUAAUGGAGCAUGAUCCACAGACAGCGUGGGCUGUCCCAGAGCGUCCCAUCCCCUCUCAGGCCCUGCCCACACUCGCAGGUCUCAUCUCACAUCUCACCACUGUUCCCAGCAGGCCUCACAGGGGUAGUGCUGCCAGGGCAGGAAGGUCAGACUGGAGGUGGGGCGUCUCACUAUGUGCUUGUACUGGCAUUAAAGAAGACAACAAAAAGAGAGGGUGAGUGGGGGAAAAAACUAGUUGUGUGUGACUGCUGCUGCUAGGCUGGGCUGGUCUCCUCUGAGACUUGGAGGCGCUGACCAGAAAGGUGUGAGUCUGAGCCGUGGCCUGCCCGUCGCCUCGUCUCCACGGAGACAGGGACAUGGCCCCCCCGUGGGCUUGUCUCCGUUGUGGCCCGGAGCAGGCGGGAGCGUUUGGGAUGCUGCCUGGCCAUCGCCUGGGCUUCAGAGGGACCAGGAGCCACAGCUCCAAUGACCUUCAACAACCUGUCAACCUGUCAUCUUGGCCUAGGGAAUUAGGAGAAAUAAAAAAUAUAUUCAACUGGGGAAGUCUAUAGAAACAACAUUGACCGUACCAGUGUAUAUUUGUUUGGAGAACAAAAGGGAUUCUAUAUUGUGGUAGAGAAGGCGCUAUAAGAUCAGACGGGGAAUAGGCUCAUUUGAUAUACUCAAACGUCCCUUUUUUAUAUUACCCAAUCCUGACGAGGAAAGGUUUUAAAUGCUGGACUAAGGCGAUCUACUUUUGGAUUUGAUUGGUCUCUCAAAAAUGUAACAGCUGGCAGAAGAGGAGAAAAUAAAAAAAUGUAAAUUAACAUAAUUAGGCAGCAGUACUAUCAUCCCAAUUCUUAUAUUCUACACUCAGUCUUUAUUUCUAAGAGCAGAACAAUGGAGUGAAAUUACUGUUUGGACAGGCCCCCAGGCAGCAUUUUAGUUCGCAACAUUUGAGUUAAAAGAGAGAAAUCUCUAAAAUGUAAUCAGUAGCACCUGCCAUGAUUACAGGCUAUGUCAAAUGAAAAAAUGUAAUGAUAAACAUUACUUCAGACCAAACCACUGAAGCGGUCUACAUUGCACAAUGUGCUGCAAGUAAGCAUAGUCAGUACAGCAUUGUGUUCACUGUCCCCUACUAACCUAUCCUCAGGAUGAGUGAUUGUGGUUAUCAUAUUCUCAGAGCAGCUAACCAAAACAGCAAUCAUAAGUUAUGUGUACAGUCUGUAAACCAGGUAGGUACUGUACGUAGUGAAUCAUACAGUACAUUACUUACUAUCUGCACUAUAUGCCCCUUAUAUUGCAAAUACUGUCGCAUGGUGCUUCUAAAGAGGCUAUUUAUUUUGUGUGCCAGGGUGACUUUUUUUUGUGCCUCAGUAGUCUCAAUUGCCUCAAUUGUAUGGGGAUAAUACAAAUAUAAUAUGUAAAUAGUCUUCCUUUAAUUCAUAUGUGUUUUGGCAUUGGAUGGCAACAUGGCUAUCACACAGGACAAUGUUGAUUUUGUGAUAGUCUUUGUUGAAAGUGUAUAAAAGCAAAAUUAUUGUAAUAUUGAUAGUUCAUGGAUUCAUGUAAAUAGUAUACUGAAAGCAAAUUGCAUAUCUCUUCGUUUUGAAGUAAUCAGAGAUUAUAUCAGGUAAGUCAUGGACACGUUCAAGUUUGUCAUUUUGGAAAACGCAAAUGUAGAUAUGGCUGUAAAGAAUUAAACAAAACAGAAUCUUGCA
Molecule: long non-coding RNA, 8142 nt
Organism: Salmo salar (Atlantic salmon)
Lineage: Eukaryota; Metazoa; Chordata; Actinopteri; Salmoniformes; Salmonidae
Source: RefSeq, a predicted model, not a curated record